GGGCUGUUGGAGUAGCGGUCAACUCACCUGAUUCUCAAUCAGGAGAUCACGGGUUCGAAUCCCGUACGGCCUA
This 73-nucleotide transfer RNA is filed under the name Paractinoplanes brasiliensis. RNAcentral describes it as "Actinoplanes brasiliensis tRNA-Glu". It matches the Rfam family "tRNA". Rfam says of the family: Transfer RNA (tRNA) molecules are approximately 80 nucleotides in length. Their secondary structure includes four short double-helical elements and three loops (D, anti-codon, and T loops). The record is from RNAcentral. Lineage: Bacteria; Bacillati; Actinomycetota; Actinomycetes; Micromonosporales; Micromonosporaceae.